Xylaria arbuscula is the source of this 89-nucleotide non-coding RNA. Lineage: Eukaryota; Fungi; Ascomycota; Sordariomycetes; Xylariales; Xylariaceae. The record is from the annotation of a GenBank genome assembly.
GGCGUGGUGGCCUAAUGGCUAAGGCUUCUGUUUCCGGUGCUUAUAAACCGAACUACAGAGGAUUGUGGGUUCGAGUCCCAUCCGCGUCG